Non-coding RNA from Prunus avium (sweet cherry), 357 nucleotides. The record is from RefSeq and is a predicted model, not a curated record. NCBI's taxonomy places the organism in Eukaryota, Viridiplantae, Streptophyta, Magnoliopsida, Rosales, Rosaceae.
ACCAAAUUGGACGAGUGAGGUAAUCCGACUCCGCCAUCACAGCAGGCAGGACCCUCUCAGGGUCACGCAGCGUGGGACUACUUCCAGUAGUUGACUGGAACGAGCCGCAGUGCCGUGUCUUGUGCUCCUGUUUUCACGAGCUUCAGCACUUGAGCCUUCUCAGGGCCUCUGUGCUAUGUAAAAUCGUUAAACUUCCUUCCCACUUUUAUUUUCUUUGAAUUCUGUUAGAUGCUCUGUUAUUGCCCAGUUAGAAUUUUGGUAUUUUGAGGCCGGAGGCCACAGUUUGUAAACGCUAUGUAUUGUGUAAUGCAUGCUGGCUGUUGGGUUAUAAAUAUCUGUGUUUUUGACAGGUUGAAA